CUUUAUUCGCACGUCUUUUAUGCGAUAAACCAGUUUUGCGCAUAAAGUUUAUUAGCAUUUUUGGAUGGAAACUUAACAAGUGCCGGCCCGUCCAACAAGCAACAGGGCCAACUAGGGCCCCGCGUUUCUUGGAGGGUCCCACAAACAACAUGAUGAGUGGCUGAACAUGAUGAGUGACCUUCCUGUAGAUUUCAGUUGCUACCCAUUUCAAACACACCUGCUUGUAAUUAUCAAGUACUGUUCAGGUCCUAAUUAGUUGGUUCAGGUGUGUUUGAUCAGGGUGAGAGCUGUGUCUAGCAGGAAGGUAGAUCUCCAGGAACAGGAUUGAGCAGCCCUGUUGAAAAAUAUACCGAUUUACUACGCAUACUACUUAAAAAAACAACUGAAUUACAUUAAUUAUUAAUUACAUGUUAUAAAAUAAUUAUGACUCAUAAUUGGAUAAAGACUAUAAUUCUUUAUCCAUUACAAGAAGCUAAAAUUAAUAAAAGUUCAUGGCGAAUUUAGUUAAAUGAACUGAAGUUAACUAUUGGAGUCUUACUGCCCUGUGUUAAUGUACUAUAGUUUUAUAAAUAAUAUCAGAAUUUUAAAUGAAUGAUUCUGUAUGUGGUAGGCCAGAAUAACAUGUGAAAAUGUUCAUGAUUGAACCAUUAAGAUGUCCUAAACCUCCAAGCAUUUAGGACUGUUAUGAAACCACUGCAAGUACUAAUUGAAUAAUCUAAAAAGCACUCUAAAAGUCUAAAUAUUAAUAUUCACAGUAUUUUAAACUGCACAAGAUCUCAAUAUGCAUGCUUAUAAUAAUGAUAUAUUAAAUUUAAUUUCUAUUGUGAAUAUACAAAAAUAUUACAACAAAUUUUGUAGUUUAGAAUGACAUCCACUUCUUAUCAGAGUGUUAGCUCCUUGAUAUCAAUUAUUAACAGUGGCUGCACGUAUUUUUAGGCUAAAUUAAUUAGACUGCUUUCAAUUAAACAUCGACUACUUACAAGGACAGCCUUUAUAAAGCUAUUAAAACCUCUCUUCUACAUAUAAAGAUGUGAAUGAAAAGCCAAAACCUUUAUAAACAAGAGCUCUACGGAGCUAUACGUACCUUGCCUGAAAACAGUUGAGUAACAGACUUUUUGAUAACGAAUAUCAAAAAUGUUUUUUUUUUCUAUUAGUUUUGAGAAUGAGAAAUAACCUCAAAGAAACUGAAAUGGGUGUUCAAAAGGUCACAAAUAUCAUUAAAACAUUACAAACUAUUAGCUUUUAAGCAGAGAAAUUAAAGCCAGUAUUGUGUGUUGGGGACAUUUCAUCAAAGCUUGUGUAAAACCAGGGCAGUUUCCCACUAUAAACACUGAAACCAUGACAAAGUUAAUAUUAUACUGAAGUAGGCUGAGAUUAUCUUUGAAAACUAAAACACAAAAAUCACAAUUUUUCUUCUAAAAUACUCAAUUUUUAUCUUUGUGUAACAGAGAUAAUGCACUCUGUUAAAUAACUGUUAUUUUUUACAUUUUACUACUUUUAUUUAAUUAUUUUGUUCAACAUUUGUGAAUUUUAUUAAGCAUUUUAUUUGUGUCCUGUUGUAAUAAUAUGAUGCACGUCGCCCUUUUUGUACCUCCCGAGUUUCCGUACCUCUUCUCUUCGCUCACGUUGCUGCUGUGCAUCGCUGAGGAUCUGCUCCUCCUCCUUCGGUUAGUGAGUGAAGAUGAUCACCAGAACAUCAUCAAGAAGAGAAAUCUGCAAAGACAAGAGUUUAUUGAAGGACCGUGAGAACAUGAGUGAUCCAGAACCCUGCAGAACUACACAUGAAGAUACUGAACAACAAACAGACCCAUUUGGGGAGAAUAAGGAGAGUGAAGAGGAGGAACGUCAUGUUGAAGCUGGGAAAAACCCUAAUUUACAGACUUCUGGUGUUUUAAAAAGGAGAGACAAGAAUCGUUUGACCUGCACUCAGUGUGGAAAGAGCUUUAGAACCAAAAAGAGUCUUAAGCUUCACAUGAGGAUCCACACCGGAGAGAAACCAUUCAAGUGUACUCAGUGUGGAAAGAGUUUCCAAUACUUAUCACAACUUAAUCAACACAUGAGGAUCCACACCGGAGAGAAACCCUUCACAUGCACUCGGUGUGGAAAGAGUUUUUUUACACUCAUCAGACCUUAAUGUACACAUGAGGGUCCACACCGGAGAGAGACCAUUCACAUGUAAACUGUGUGGAAAGACUUUCAAACACAAAUCACACCUUAAUCAACACAUGAGGAUCCACACUGGAGAAAGACCAUUCUCGUGUACUCAGUGUGGGAAGAGCUUUAGAGACUCAUCAACCUUUAAUAAACACAUGACGAUCCACACUGAUGAGAAACCAUUCACAUGUACUCAGUGUGGGAAGAAUUUCAGAGACUCAUCACAACUUAAACAACACAUGAGGAUCCACACCGGAGAGAAGCCAUUCACAUGUACUCAGUGUGGGAAGAGUUUCAGCCAAUCAUCACAGCUUAAUCAACACAUGAUGAUUCACACUGGAGCAAAACCAUUCAUAUGUUCUCAGUGUGGGGCCAGUUUCAGCCAACAAUCAUCCCUUAAACAGCACAUGAGGAUCCACACCGGAGAGAAACCAUUCACAUGUCCUCAGUGUGGGAAGAGUUUCAGACACUUGUCAAACUUUAGUAAACACAAGAUGAUCCACACUGGAGAGAAACCAUAUGCAUGUUCUCAGUGUGGGAAGAGUUUUAGCCACUCAUCACACCGUAAUAGACACAUGAGGACCCACACUGGAGAGAAACCACACACAUGUACUCAGUGUGGGACGAGUUUCUCUGAACCAUCAUCCCUUAAUCAACACAUGAUGAUCCACACCGGAGAGAAACCGUUCACAUGUUCUCAGUGUGGGAAGAGUUUCAGCCUAUCAUCACGCCUUACUCAGCACAUGAAGAUCCACACCGGAGAGAAACCACACAAAUGUGAUCACUGCAGCAAAACAUUUUUGAGGCCUUCAAAGCUGAAGGUCCAUCUUGCACUUCAUAGAAGCGAGAAGCCUUAUUCAUGUCCUGUGUGUGAAAAGAGUUAUACAUUGGAGUCCAAAUUAAAAAGGCAUCAGAAGUCCCACACUGCUGUUAGACAGUAUAUGUGCUUUAAGUGUAAGAAGACUUAUAUUACAGCUACACAACUGAAACUGCAUGAGAGGAAUCACACUGGAGAGAAACCUUUCAAGUGUUCACACUGUGACAAGAGAUUUAGUCUGUUAGGAUCCCUAAAAUCGCAUGAGAAGGUUCACACUGGAGAGAAACUGUACAAGUGUUCACAGUGUAGCAAGAGGUUUAGUCAUUUAGGAACCCUAAAAAGACAUGAGAGGAUUCACACUGGAGAGAAGCCGUACACAUGUGAUCAGUGUUCUCAGAGUUUCACAUACUUAGAGAGGCUUAAGAAACACAUGAACAUCCACACUGGAGAAAAGCUGCACAAAUUUCCGUACCUCUUCUCUUCCCGCCUCCCGCACAAGACAUUGCUGCUGUGCAUCGCUGAGGAUCCUUCAUUUCGAAGCUCUUCCUCCUUUGGGUGUAAAUACUGGAAUUUUCCGAUCAGCCCACUAGUGAAGAUGAGCACUAGAAAAUCAACAAGAAGUGAAAUCUGCAAAGAGAAGAGUUUAUUGAAGGACCGUGAGAACAUGAGUAAUCCGGACCCCUGCAAAACUACACAUGAAGAUACUGAACAACAAACAGACCCAUUUGGGGAGAAUAAGGAGAGUGAAGAGGAGGAACGUCAUGUUGAAGCUGGGAAAAACCCUAAUUUACAGACUUCUGGUGUUUUGAAAAGGAGAGACAAGAAUCGUUUGACCUGCACUCAGUGUGGAAAGAGCUUUAGAACCAAAAAGAGUCUUAAGCUUCACAUGAGGAUCCACACCGGAGAGAAACCAUUUAAGUGUACUCAGUGUGGAAAAAGUUUCCAAUACUUAUCACAACUUAAUCAACACAUGAGGAUCCACACCGGAGAGAGACCAUUUAAGUGUACUCAGUGUGGAAAGAGUUUCCAAUAUUCAUCAAGCCUUAAUUUACACUUGAAGAUCCACACCGGAGAGAGACCAUUCACAUGCACUCAGUGUGAAAAGAGUUUUGGACACUCCUCAGAGCUUAAUGUACACAUGAGGGUCCACACCGGAGAGAGACCAUUCACAUGUAAACUGUGUGGAAAGACUUUCAAACACAAAUCACACCUUAAUCAACACAUGAGGAUCCACACUGGAGAGAGACCAUUCACAUGUACUCAGUGUGGGAAGAGUUUCCAAUACACAUCAAACUUAAAUAAACACAUGAUGAUCCACACUGGAGAGAGACCAUUCACCUGUACUCAGUGUGGUAAGAGUUUCAGAGACUCUUCACAACUUAAUAAACACAUGAUGAUCCACACUGACGAGAAACCAUUCACCUGUACUCAGUGUGGGAAGAGUUUCAAACACGUAUCGACCUUUAAUAAACACAUGAUGAUUCACGCUGGAGCGAAACCUUUCAUAUGUUCUCAGUGUGGGAAGAGUUUCAGGCUAUCAUCAUCCCUUAAUCAGCACAUGAGGGUCCACACUGGAGAGAAACCAUUCACAUGUCCUCAGUGUGGGAAGAGUUUCAGAUACAUAUCAAACUUUACUAAACACAAGAUGAUCCACACUGGAGAGAAACCAUAUGCAUGUUCUCAGUGUGGGAAGAGUUUUAGCCACUCAUCACACCGCAAUAGACACAUGAGGACCCACACUGGAGAGAAACCACACACAUGUACUCAGUGUGGGACGAGUUUCUCUGAACCAUCAUCCCUUAAUCAACACAUGAGGAUCCACACCGGAGAGAAACCGUUCACAUGUACUCAGUGUGGGAAGAGUUUCAGCCAAUUAUCACACCUUCAUCAACACAAGAGGAUCCACACCGGAGAGAAAAAACACAAAUGUGAUCAAUGCAGCAAAACAUUUUUAAGUGCUUCACAGCUGAAGAUGCAUCUUUCAAUUCAUAGAAGCGAGAAGCCUUAUUCAUGUCCUGUGUGUGAAAAGAGUUAUACAGUGGAGUCCAAAUUAAAAAGGCAUCAGAAGUCCCACACUGCUGUGAGACAGUAUAUGUGCUUUAAGUGUAAGAAGACUUAUAUUACAGCUACACAACUGAAACUGCACGACAGGAUUCACACUGGAGAGAAACCUUUCAAGUGUUCACACUGUGACAAGAGAUUUAGUCUGUUAGGAUGCCUAAAAUCGCAUGAGAAGGUUCACACUGGAGAGAAACUGUACAAGUGUUCACAGUGUAGCAAGAGGUUUAGUCUUUUAGGAACCCUGAAAAGACAUGAGAGGAUUCACACUGGAGAGAAGCCGUACACAUGUGAUCAGUGUUCUCAGAGUUUCACAUACUUAGAGAGGCUUAAGAAACACAUGAACAUCCACACUGGAGAAAAGCUGCACAAAUGACGCCAAUGCAGCAAAACAUUCUCUCCAGUGAAAAGGUGUUUCAUGUCUGAACAUCAGAUAAUUCUGGUGUGAGAGAUUGAGUGUGAAAAGUAGAGAAAUUAACAUGGGAAUUAUCAGUGAACAGAGUAAAAGACUGAGCUUUAGAUAAAACACACCCAGUGGUGGGCUUUUGUUCAUUUAACUUGAACAAAGUUAUGAAUGACCAAUAUGAUAAAAAAAUUUAAUUCUAGGUCUUAUGGAAAUUUAAAAUUGUGUAUCAUCAGCACAAAAUGGAAAUGAAGACUAUAAUAAUGAAAUGUAUGACCUAAAGGUAAAAUAUAAAUGAUGGCACUGACCCCUGAGGCACACAAUUAA
Non-coding RNA from Danio rerio (zebrafish), 5759 nucleotides. The record is from RefSeq and is a predicted model, not a curated record. Lineage: Eukaryota; Metazoa; Chordata; Actinopteri; Cypriniformes; Danionidae.